AAGGUUUUAAGUUAAAUUAAACUAAUAUCCUUCAAAGUUAUAAAUAAAGAUAAAUCUUUAAGCCUUA
Molecule: transfer RNA, 67 nt
Filed under: Boreus elegans
Lineage: Eukaryota; Metazoa; Arthropoda; Insecta; Mecoptera; Boreidae
Description: tRNA-Trp
Source: RNAcentral